GGGGAUGUAGCUCAGCGGCAGAGUGCUUGCCUAGCAUGCAUGAGGCACUGGGUUUGAUCCUCAGCACCACA
This 71-nucleotide transfer RNA is filed under the name Marmota monax (woodchuck). RNAcentral describes it as "tRNA.Ala". It matches the Rfam family "tRNA". From Rfam's summary of the family: Transfer RNA (tRNA) molecules are approximately 80 nucleotides in length. Their secondary structure includes four short double-helical elements and three loops (D, anti-codon, and T loops). The record is from RNAcentral. Lineage: Eukaryota; Metazoa; Chordata; Mammalia; Rodentia; Sciuridae.